GGAGAGAUCAGGCAUGACUCCUCCUGAGAGCCACGAUGGAUCUUGCCUCCACAAGCUACAUAUUAUGAGCAAAAAUCAUCGUCACAAAUCCGAUUCCUUCCUCCUCCGCACGCACGAAGCCGCCGCCGCUGCUUCUCACCUCGCCGCUAGAUCGGAAUCGAAGUUGUUGCUCAAAUCAAGAGAGAGAGAGAGAGAGAGAGAGAGAGAGAGAUCGGAUCGAGAUUGAGAUGCCACGAGGAGCGCUGUCGGAGAUGCCAGGCCGUUGCCUUAGGCGGAAGAGCCGCCGGCAAGGAAUCCACGUCGGGUGGCUAUCCGUGGCCUCUCAAGCCCUCUCUUACUCCCCCCUCCCCCACCUCCCACCGCCCAAGCGCCGUCACCUCACCUUCCACAGGCCCCCUCGACCCUCGGCUAGACGCCACGGCCGGGUCGCCACCCCCUCCCACCGCGAGGAAGACGACGGCAGAGCAAGGCGGCAGCGCUAGGCUGUACGUCGAGCCUCCCUCAGUGGCCUCCGUCCUCCAUACCGAUGCUCCGUCCCCCGUUUCAAUCGGCUCUGCUGCAACUUCGCCUGACGACCGGUGCUCUGCCUUCACCUGCGCUGCUUCGGUCUAGAUCGAUACGGCCCUGAGCUCCACUCCAUGGCCCUCUUCUGCCAAACCCCGUACAAUCUCCUCAAGCCAACUUGCUUGUCAAUGAGCCUAGCACCGCUAGCAAUUCGCAUGGUCUUUCUCUCCUGAAGAUAUGAGUUAACUUUCUGAAGCUAUGCAUACGACAUCAAGUAUUACUUGGAGUUAUGAGGAGCCCAGAAAACGAUUGGCAAUGCAGGAGGGUUAUUCAGUGACUGUUGGUCCCUAAUUUGCUUAUAUAAUAAGGUGGCAUAAUGGGUAUUGUUAUUCCACAACUUCCUCCACAGAACUUACGCUAUUUCUGAAUCCUGCCAGACUUGAUACUGCAGACUGCAGGUGUGAUUAGUCAUUAGUGUGUUUUCAGCUCUGCAUAUUAUAUGGGCCCAGUUUAAUAUAUUGUAAAUGAUUGGCGAGUGAAUUCCUUAAGCUGGCUGGGCGUACUGAAUUUGAACAGGCCUACUAUGCACUAAGAGUCUCAAUACAAAAAUUAUAUGAACAAGGUUAAUAUAUCGUAAUAUUGGCAUGUGGAUAAAAAAUAUUGGAUUUAUAAACUCCAUCUGUUUAAACAAUUUUAACUACUGCCAAUAUUGGUAUUUAUCGCAGGGAAAUGAAUCUUCUAUUGUAUAUUCGAUGAGUCUUAACAUGCAGUAGUCGUGUAACUGAUUUGCAUCUUCGUAAGUUUUUAGGUUUAUGAGUUUUUCCGACAAUUUUAUUUUUAGCCACAUUUUGGACUUUGACAACUUGCCACAAAAUACAUAAUUUUUCCAUCAGAUUAAGAUAGCAAAGCAUGUAUUCAAACUUUUCCUGUUUAAAUUACGUUAUGCUUAUUUUUUUAGUGUUUGGGUAGAUAACAACACACCCCACAAAAAAAGAUAACAAUACUGAUGUUUACUUAUUUUUCUUUGUAAGAUAAACAUGAUUCUUAAUACUGAGUUGAUUCUUCUAUUUUCAGAGCAAAUAAUAAUUUGCAACCGAUCAAUUGUUUAUUAAUUUAAUAAGAUUUACAACUUCUGCAUGUUAUGAGAAGAUUGUGGAUAAUAUGCUUUUAGUCUUCAUUUUAGCUCAGCCACCUCCGUUCUGAUGCAGACCAAUCUUGCCACGCCCCAACCUCUCCCCUCCCAACCUCGUCGUGCCCCCCACACAUAACGGACUUUGACUCGAAGAAGAGUCCCUGUGAUGUGCGUCUUUGAGUCGUGUCUGAUUAGCAGAUCUUCAGGGGCACGGGUCCAGACAUUGCCGCGCCAUAGAAAGGAACCACUCGACCGGAGGCAAAUACAUUGCAUCACAAGUUGCUCCCGACAUCGCCGUGCCGCAAGUUCCCAACAUCAGCCACCGUAGCACAGGUUCGUUCCUCCCUAAAUUUUCUUUCACAUACGACCAAAUUGAUAAUCGAGGAGAGGGAGAGAUGGCGCCGCCAGCGAGUGGAUACAAGGGUGGCGCUACUGCGUGGCUGAAGACGGGAAGGCACUCGAAGGGAUGAGAUCCUGCUUUAGGGGAGAGAGCACAUGGCAAGCUUGGCGCUGCUGCUUGAGGGAGAGAGAUAGGCAAGGAAGAGAGCAGAGAGAUGAGGGAUAGAGAGAGCAGAGAGAGAGGGGCGCUGAUUGCUGCAAAUUUAGAUAGAUGUAUGGUGCUUCUUGUAUAAUGUAUGUUGCUACUGAUUGAUGCACAUUUAGAUAGAGAACAGAGAUAUAGCUUGCUACACUCCCAUCGAUCAAUCUAUAUGUAAUAAUAAAUAGUACCCAAUUCACAUCCAGAAAAUUUGCAUCUGUCAUCAAGGAAAAAGACAUUCCUAAGCCCUUUGGGUUCUAAUUGCAAGGUUAAAUAAUUAUUCUAACUCUCUGAAAUCUACCAAAGCUAGGCAGAUAGAUAGACUCCUUUCCCGCUGCUAAGGGAGAGCAAGAAACUAAAUCAAAUGAUUGUUUUUUUUCACCAGCGCCCUUUUUUGCGGGUACUGGCGUCCGGCGCAUGCAUACAACCAUUCCUUCUUCUCCUCGGAACGUCAGGUCGGUCGGAAAGAAAGCGCGGUGUAGCUGGCAUCAGCAUCUCUUGUUAGGUUCGCACGCACAAGGGUGGUGGGUAGGUCUCUUUACGUGUCCCGCGAGGCAAGGAAUUCUUCGACCAAUGAUAUCAUGGUAUCAGAGUCGCCGAUCGAGAUUUCUCAUGGCUACCCAUUACUCUGCAGUUAUUUGGCUCAUCAUUGUCCACAAGUUUCCGACAUACCUCUAUACAAUCUCACCGCUCUACCAACUCCGCAGGCCACCCAUACUCCAUACGCCGUCGUACAAUCUCGGCGUUCUACCAACAUCGCUGGACCACUGUGCUCCAGCAGAGGUACGCCUAUCUCAUGCCAAUCUAAAGACGGUUAUGUCAUUUCUAUUAGAGUAGUCAUUAUGUUAUACGACUUCUAGUCCAAGUCAGUUUUGUACCCCUACCCCAAGUCGGUUUGUACCCUCUUAUAUACUCUUGUAUGCCGCACCAAAUCAUCAAUAAGCAACAGUUUUAUUCA
This is a long non-coding RNA of Triticum aestivum (bread wheat), 3132 nucleotides long. RefSeq lists it as uncharacterized. Lineage: Eukaryota; Viridiplantae; Streptophyta; Magnoliopsida; Poales; Poaceae. The transcript is spliced from 2 exons. The record is from RefSeq and is a predicted model, not a curated record.